GACAGAGGGUGCAAGCGUUAAUCGGAAUUAUUGGGCGUAAAGCGCGCGUAGGUGGAUUAGUAAGUUGGAUGUGAAAGCCCUAGGCUUAACCUGGGAAUUGCAUUUAAUACUGCUCGUCUAGAGUACAAUAGAGGGAAGUGGAAUUUCCGGUGUAGCGGUGAAAUGCGUAGAUAUCGGAAAGAACAUCAGUGGCGAAGGCGACUUCCUAGAUUGACACUGACACUGAGGCGCGAAAGCGUGGGGAG
RNAcentral lists this ribosomal RNA (245 nucleotides) under uncultured bacterium. RNAcentral describes it as "partial 16S ribosomal RNA". It matches the Rfam family "Bacterial small subunit ribosomal RNA", at positions 524 to 768 of the family's 1533-position model. The record is from RNAcentral.